Molecule: long non-coding RNA, 643 nt
Organism: Oreochromis aureus
Lineage: Eukaryota; Metazoa; Chordata; Actinopteri; Cichliformes; Cichlidae
Source: Ensembl
AAUUGGGUGCUCCAACAGCACAAUGAUCCUAAGCAUCAAAACUGGCUUUGUAAUGGAUAAAGCAAAAUAACAUUAGGAAAAUUUGAUAAUUUGUCUUUGACCUUUCUUCAUUCUCAUCUCACGAGGCAAACUCUUGCAUGGAUGUCCAGACCAAGGGUGAUUGCUGCUAUUUGGUCUUCUUGCCCAUGAUGGUGGUGGAAAGGCUGGAAUGGAGGAAGCGAAGCUGAUUCUGUGGACAGCUGCUUAGGAUGGACAAACCCAGCCCAGAGUAAGCAGCAGAAAAUGGAUGGAUGGAAGUUUGUCAGACCAGUUGUGAUAUAAUCCAAUCGGGUGGGUUUGUUUAUGACUUUUACAAUCCUUGUCACCGCCCUGGAUCUUUAACCCAGUGUUUUUGGUCGUUCAAGUUCUGUUCAUUAUUAAAGAUCUUCAGUUUGAUUCUCAGUCUGCUUAUUGUUUAGAUUAUAGUCUCAUUUCUCAUUAGCCUCUGUGUGUUUGUGUGCUUUUAAAAACUAGGUUUAUUGAGUUCUUUGUCAUAUUGUACCUGUCUGUUUCAUUACAUUGUUUCCUAUAAUCUUGGAUUUUAUUUCUUGUACUUCUGGACUCCUUGUACCUUGGUAUUUGGAUUUAUGUUCAGAACUCUUUC